GUCUAACAUAUGUGCAAGUCAUUGAGUUAUAUUAAACUUAAUGGCAUAAUUAACUUAACUUAUAUAUAAUGGGAUUAAUUUUUAGUCUAUUUUUUUAAAUAGUCAAUUAAUUCAAUCCCGGGGCGUUCCAUAUAGUUAUGUAUAAUAAUAAUUUAUUAUUAUUUAUACCUCUAACUGGAGCGUACCUUGAGCAUAUAUGCUGUGACCCGAAAGAUGGUGAACUAUACUUGAUCAGGUUGAAGUCAGGGGAAACCCUGAUGGAAGACCGAAACAGUUCUGACGUGCAAAUCGAUUGUCAGAAUUGAGUAUAGGGGCGAAAGACCAAUCGAACCAUCU
This 336-nucleotide ribosomal RNA is filed under the name Anastrepha fraterculus. Its description in RNAcentral is "partial 28S large subunit ribosomal RNA". It matches the Rfam family "Eukaryotic large subunit ribosomal RNA", at positions 673 to 945 of the family's 3401-position model. Lineage: Eukaryota; Metazoa; Arthropoda; Insecta; Diptera; Tephritidae. The record is from RNAcentral.